This 423-nucleotide ribosomal RNA is filed under the name uncultured Chlorobiota bacterium. RNAcentral describes it as "uncultured Chlorobi bacterium partial 16S ribosomal RNA". Lineage: Bacteria; Pseudomonadati; Chlorobiota. The record is from RNAcentral.
ACUGACAUGGGAGUCUUCUUCGGGGCCGAUUGAUGCACGGUCGUCGGCGCCAUUAUGCCAUCCCCCGUUCGCAACAGGCCUAAAUGACCCACAUUUCCCGCGCAUCCGCCCAAACAUUCAGUCUCCACUUUAGGACGCCGAGUUGGCAUCUUGACGGAAACUAUGACGGUUGGAACUCAAGCUUUCUCUCCCUACCUUAAGGUCCACAUCACCACUUUAUGCAUCUAUAGACCUUCUUGUGGUCACCGCUUCCGCCAGGGAACCAAGCAUUGACUGCGACUCCGCGCUUUCGCACCCCUCGUUUGUCCUAAUCUAUGGGACCAUCAGGUGCGGCAUUUGCUACUUAUGGAUCACAAGCCCUAUAAAAUGAUAAGUCACNGCGUCGAUUGCGUAAUUCAUAAGGUGGACCCCUCAUGCCAGCGU